CUGGUGGAGAUGGAGAUAACUAAUUGCCUAUUUGGUCCGGGGUUCGAUUCCUGGGCAUGUUGUUCUUGGUAUUUUUAGCAUUUUUUGUGACUCUCUCAUAUUUCUCUUAAUCUGUUUAUUUAUUUUUUAUUUGUAUUGUAACUUAAUUGAUUUUUUUUUCUUUCUUUGAGAUUUAUGUAAAAUAUAAUUUUUUAGGUGAGGUAUGUAUAAAUCAUGAUAAAUCAUAUUGGCUUUGAUAAAAAGAAAAACUAUUCAAAAAAAUAAUAACGAUAAAUAUCGCAUAAUAACAUAAAUUUGGUAUCCUUUAAUUGUAUCCUUCUUACAAUA
RNAcentral lists this long non-coding RNA (327 nucleotides) under Lathyrus oleraceus (garden pea). Its description in RNAcentral is "Pisum sativum (pea) long non-coding RNA (PSAT_LNC009237)". Lineage: Eukaryota; Viridiplantae; Streptophyta; Magnoliopsida; Fabales; Fabaceae. The record is from RNAcentral.